Long non-coding RNA from Ostrea edulis (European flat oyster), 626 nucleotides. RefSeq lists it as uncharacterized. The record is from RefSeq and is a predicted model, not a curated record. The transcript has 2 exons. Lineage: Eukaryota; Metazoa; Mollusca; Bivalvia; Ostreida; Ostreidae.
ACAUUUGUUGAAUAACUGAGAUAAGAAUUAACUGUUGCCUUUUUUACUCCAUCACUGGUAGCCCUAGACGCUACCAGUGAUUGGGUGGUGUUUUCCAGAGAGACGUGUCCAUUGGGUGACGAUAUCGACACACUUGAAGAUGAUUCUUUGUAAAUGGUUCCAUGACAUGGAAAAAGAGAGGUGAGUAUAUCAUGAGACAUGACACCACUGGAGAAUUAUUGGUGGAAGUUAAUGAACUAUGGAUAUAUGUACACAGUAUUGGACAAGAGGAAGAUGUAUUCUAAAGACAGUUGUAUUGAUUGAUUGUAUAUUGUUCAAUGUCCCUCUCGAGAAUAGUUUACGUGUAUGGAGACCUCACCACUGCCAGUUAAGAGCAGCAAAAUUUAGGCCUAUGCUCAGCACUUACGGGCUGUGAAAGGGGACCUCAUUUUUUGCGGUCUCAUCCGAAGGACCGCCCCAUUUAUUCCCCUUAUGACAAAUUCUAACCCGGAUCACCACGGGACUAGACAGUUGUAUACUGACAGUUUUGUUUCUAGAGAGUUAUGUUUAUAGACAGUUGUAUAUAUCUGGUUAUUGUUUUUACAUACAUGAGUUUUACUCGUAAAUAAAUACUGUAUAUACUUUUA